CCUGCUCAGAGCACAUGCUCAAAAAUGUUUGAGCUUUAGUCGGUCGCCCUUUAAUGACCUGCUGCUAAGAAGAAGAAAGACAGCUCCUGUGUGGACUCAGAAGACGUAACUGCAUCGCCGGUAUGUGCGGACCAAAUGAAGGACUUUCGCAUCUCUUGACACUGAAGCAACUUAAAUCCGUUGAUUGCAUCGCCGGUAUGUGCGGACCAAAUGAAGGACUUUCGCAUCUCUUGACACUGAAGCAACUUAAAUCCGUCGAUUGGUAAGUGUUUGUUUGGCAUCAAAUGUGGAUGGAGGGGAAAGGCUGGAUGCAAAUAUAGCUACAAAUUAGGCAUAAUGCUGCAAUAUGUACAUA
Nerophis ophidion (straightnose pipefish) is the source of this 355-nucleotide long non-coding RNA. RefSeq lists it as uncharacterized. Lineage: Eukaryota; Metazoa; Chordata; Actinopteri; Syngnathiformes; Syngnathidae. The transcript is spliced from 3 exons. The record is from RefSeq and is a predicted model, not a curated record.